GUGGAGGAUUGCAAAUGUCUCU
RNAcentral lists this microRNA (22 nucleotides) under Callorhinchus milii (elephant shark). RNAcentral describes it as "eshark_NOVEL_132". Lineage: Eukaryota; Metazoa; Chordata; Chondrichthyes; Chimaeriformes; Callorhinchidae. The record is from RNAcentral.